Molecule: ribosomal RNA, 493 nt
Filed under: uncultured bacterium
Lineage: Bacteria
Description: partial 16S ribosomal RNA
Rfam family: Bacterial small subunit ribosomal RNA
Source: RNAcentral
ACGAACGCUGGCGGCGUGCUUAACACAUGCAAGUCGAACGGUGAAGCGCCUUCCUUUUUGGUGGGUGUGGAUGAGUGGCGAACGGGUGAGUAACACGUGAGUAACCUGCCCCCUUCUUCUGGAUAACCGCAUGAAAGUGUGGCUAAUACGGGAUAUUCUGGGUCUGUCGCAUGAUGGGUCUGGGAAAGAUAUUGUUUCGGUGGGGGAUGGGCUCGCGGCCUAUCAGCUUGUUGGUGGGGUGAUGGCCUACCAAGGCGGUGACGGGUAGCCGGCCUGAGAGGGUGGACGGUCACACUGGGACUGAGACACGGCCCAGACUCCUACGGGAGGCAGCAGUGGGGAAUAUUGCACAAUGGGCGCAAGCCUGAUGCAGCGACGCCGCGUGAGGGAUGGAGGCCUUCGGGUUGUGAACCUCUUUCGCCAGUGAAGCAGGCCUGCCUCGUUUGUGGGUGGGUUGACGGUAGCUGGAUAAGAAGCGCCGGCUAGCUACGUG